This 451-nucleotide ribosomal RNA is filed under the name uncultured bacterium. Its description in RNAcentral is "partial 16S ribosomal RNA". It matches the Rfam family "Bacterial small subunit ribosomal RNA", at positions 29 to 523 of the family's 1533-position model. The record is from RNAcentral.
AGCGAACGCUGGCGGCAGGCCUAACACAUGCAAGUCGAGCGGCCAUAGCAAUACGGCAGCGGUAGACGGGAGAGUAACACGUGGGAACGCGCCCUUCGGUUCGGGAUAACCCAGGGAAACUUGGGCUAAUACCGGAUACGCCCUUACGGGGAAAGAUUUAUUGCCGAAGGAACGGCCCGCGUCCGAUUAGCUAGUUGGUGAGGUAACGGCUCACCAAGGCGACGAUCGGUAGCUGGUCUGAGAGGAUGACCAGCCUCACUGGGACUGAGACACGGCCCAGACUCCUACGGGAGGCAGCAGUGGGGAAUAUUGGACAAUGGACGCAAGCUUGAUCCAGCCAUGCCGCGUGGGUGAUGAAGGCCCUAGGGUUGUAAAGCUCUUUUGCCGGGGACGAUAAUGACGGUACCCGGAGAAUAAGUCCCGGCUAACUUCGUGCCAGCCGCCGCGGUAA